Molecule: ribosomal RNA, 496 nt
Filed under: uncultured bacterium
Lineage: Bacteria
Description: partial 16S ribosomal RNA
Rfam family: Bacterial small subunit ribosomal RNA
Source: RNAcentral
GAUGAACGCUGGCGGCGUGCCUAAUACAUGCAAGUCGAGCGAACAGACGAGGAGCUUGCUCCUCUGACGUUAGCGGCGGACGGGUGAGUAACACGUGGAUAACCUACCUAUAAGACUGGGAUAACUUCGAGAAACCGGAGCUAAUACCGGAUAAUAUAUUGAACCGCAUGGUUCAAUAGUGAAAGACGGUUUUGCUGUCACUUAUAGAUGGAUCCGCGCCGCAUUAGCUAGUUGGUAAGGUAACGGCUUACCAAGGCAACGAUGCGUAGCCGACCUGAGAGGGUGAUCGGCCACACUGGAACUGAGACACGGUCCAGACUCCUACGGGAGGCAGCAGUAGGGAAUCUUCCGCAAUGGGCGAAAGCCUGACGGAGCAACGCCGCGGGAGUGAUGAAGGUCUUCGGAUCGUAAAACUCUGUUAUUAGGGAAGAACAAAUGUGUAAGUAACGAUGCACGUCUUGACGGUACCUAAUCAGAAAGCCACGGCUAACUACGU